CUUCUCUGUUGUGUGUUUUUAUUUUCUAGUGCAAAAGAAAAGCAAAAACCCACUAUUAAAAAUGAAGCCCUUUGAAUAAACUCAUCUUAGAUGCAGGAUGUUUGGCAUUGCAGCCAGUCACUCUGGAAAAGGAAGCCRAGGGAGAGCAGCAGUCUCAAAUACAUCUCUGAUGUGCGUUUUGCUGCAGAAGCCACGAGGGGCCACUGCAGCUCAGUGUGCCUGCCACCGAAGCCCCACUGGCUCUGGAGAACAACCUGGCCCACUGCUUCUGGCAACAGCUCAGCACACAGCUUGCAUGCAGUUAUGCAUAUGUUGUAACCAUGUGAAGUCUGUUGUGCUGGGAGGAAGCAUACCCUGGACUCAGCAGGACCUUGCCCACUGCUGUGGGGUGGAGGAAGCAGAAGGAUCCAGCCCCAGAAGAAUGUCACCUUUGCUGAAAUUUCAGUUUCAUCUCUUCUGAAUAAAUGAAGAAAGUGACUAUGAAAGCACAGCAUCUACCUUCUGUUUCCAUCAAUGAGGAGAAG
Molecule: long non-coding RNA, 524 nt
Filed under: Apteryx rowi (Okarito brown kiwi)
Lineage: Eukaryota; Metazoa; Chordata; Aves; Apterygiformes; Apterygidae
Description: lncRNA (ENSARWG00000002792.1)
Source: RNAcentral